ACAUCCAGAGAGUUUAGCAGAGAUGCUUUAGUGCCUUCGGGAACUCUGAGACAGGUGCUGCAUGGCUGUCGUCAGCUCGUGUUGUGAAAUGUUGGGUUAAGUCCCGNAACGAGCGCAACCCUUAUCCUUUGUUGCCAGCACGUAAUGGUGGGAACUCAAAGGAGACUGCCGGUGAUAAACCGGAGGAAGGUGGGGAUGACGUCAAGUCAUCAUGGCCCUUACGAGUAGGGCUACACACGUGCUACAAUGGCGCAUACAAAGAGAAGCGACCUCGCGAGAGCAAGCGGACCUCAUAAAGUGCGUCGUAGUCCGGAUUGGAGUCUGCAACUCGACUCCAUGAAGUCGGAAUCGCUAGUAAUCGUAAAUCAGAAUGUUACGGUGAAUACGUUCCCGGGCCUUGUACACACCGCCCGUCACACCAUGGGAGUGGGUUGCAAAAGAAGUAGAUAGCUUAACCUUCGGGAGGGCGUUUACCACUUUGUGAUUCAUGACUGGGGUGAAGUCGUAACAAGGUAAGCGUAGUGCU
RNAcentral lists this ribosomal RNA (526 nucleotides) under uncultured bacterium. RNAcentral describes it as "bacterial SSU rRNA". It matches the Rfam family "Bacterial small subunit ribosomal RNA", at positions 984 to 1509 of the family's 1533-position model. The record is from RNAcentral.